CAACACAGUCCUCUCCCAUCACCUCGCAAGCCAUGGAAACACACUGCCCCGCUGAAAAUUCCGUCGAACACCUUGCUGUCGUGCCACUGCACCGCGUUCCCUCCUCCCUCUGCACCACCGACGCGAGCGUCGCGCCAAAGCGUGGCACCGUGGCUUAGAUGAGCCUCUCCACCGCCCAUCUCCGCCAAUCCACCGCUGCCGCCCGCUCUUCUCUCUCGCCACAGACCCGGUGCACCGUGCACCGGCGUUGGCCUUUAAGAAGGGCCAGGCCUCUCAUGCUCGUCCCCUUCGCCUCCAUUUUCCCCACUCCAACCCUCCACUCCCCCUCCUGAGCGGAGAAGAGCUCCACCUCUCCCUGCUACCCGAGCUCCACCUCGCCUUCCGUAACCUCACGGUGAAGGUCACCGGAGUUCACCGUCGCCGGGCGCCACCGUGUCCGCCGAGCUCGCCCGUCGCUGUCCAACUCAGACGCCUGUGAUCUCAGCCGUCGCUAUCACUGCGGGUGCUGCCGCUGGAGAAACGUUUCUGCGGCACGGCGGCGACCCACCACACCCUCCUCGACUGCUUCGGACCUGCCCCGAGCGCCCUAGAUUCGAACGCCGCCGGAAUCAGAGGAGGAGGUGAAGUUGGAGGAAUUGAGGAAGAAGGCCAGGGACACUUUGCUGAUCAAGGCAAGCCACCUCUCUAUGCAUACCUUGUCCAAAAUAUCUUGCUCUUGCAUUAUUACAAGUUCUUAUAAAAUUGCAUGGUUUUUAUUCUAUUUAUGUGAGUGGUUCCGCCACUCGAAGUUUUAUGAUUCCACCCUUACGGGUGCAGCCCUCGUGAUACCUACUGAUCCAACACUUGCUAGAGAUAUGGUGCUUAACACCUUAUCAUCCUUGUCGCCGCUUUUCAAAGAAAAGUUAGACUAUAGGUCGGGAGCCCUCUUUAAAAAGGUUUGUGAAAAAAAAUUCACGAAAGAAGUGUUUCGAAAACCUUGGAAUGGGGUAGCCCUGCCCAAGUGUGAGU
Lolium rigidum is the source of this 1008-nucleotide long non-coding RNA. RefSeq lists it as uncharacterized. NCBI's taxonomy places the organism in Eukaryota, Viridiplantae, Streptophyta, Magnoliopsida, Poales, Poaceae. The transcript has 3 exons. The record is from RefSeq and is a predicted model, not a curated record.